GUGCUUGAUUUGGCAGCAAAUAUAUGAAAAUUGGAAUGAUACACAAAGGAUUAGCAGGGCACCUGUGCAAGGAUGACACACAAAUUGGUGAAGCAUUCCAUAUUUUU
Molecule: small nuclear RNA, 107 nt
Organism: Cricetulus griseus (Chinese hamster)
Lineage: Eukaryota; Metazoa; Chordata; Mammalia; Rodentia; Cricetidae
Source: Ensembl